GCGACCCCAGGAUGGGCGAGGCCACCCGCCGAGUUUAAGCAUAUCAAUAAGCGGAGACAAGA
Molecule: ribosomal RNA, 62 nt
Filed under: Maxillaria cf. rufescens Arevalo 1093
Lineage: Eukaryota; Viridiplantae; Streptophyta; Magnoliopsida; Asparagales; Orchidaceae
Also listed under: 1 other name
Description: partial 26S ribosomal RNA
Source: RNAcentral